Phascolarctos cinereus (koala) is the source of this 437-nucleotide long non-coding RNA. RefSeq lists it as uncharacterized. NCBI's taxonomy places the organism in Eukaryota, Metazoa, Chordata, Mammalia, Diprotodontia, Phascolarctidae. The record is from RefSeq and is a predicted model, not a curated record.
GGGGGCGGGUCCGGAAGUGACGCGUGGGACGUGACGCGCGCGGCGGCGGCAAAGGCGGCCGGGGGCGGGGCUCGCUCGGUCCGGCGCCCGGCCCGGGACGGGACGACCUGUGACAGAUAAGUAUAAUACAAGGAAGGGGGUCAUGAGAGCAAAUGGGAGAUCACAGCAAAGUGCUCCAGGAAAAUUGAGGAGGCAGAUUGAAAGCCUGUCAGCUCCAGAGGGUGUGGAAGGCUGUGUGGAAGAGAUAAUGUCUGAGCCCAGUCUCAAAGAGGAUUCUGAAGGGCAGAGAGGAAGAAGGUGGGCACUGUAGGCAUGGAAGACUGGCCGAGAUUGGUACAUCAUGUUUGGGCCUGUUGUUUGGCUAGGAGUAGCCAAAAGUGGCUCUUCUGAGAAUAAUACCUUCAGAAAUUCAAGAAAGGAAACAAAAAUGACUGUCA